RNAcentral lists this transfer RNA (73 nucleotides) under Acidobacteriota bacterium. RNAcentral describes it as "Acidobacteria bacterium (activated sludge metagenome) tRNA-Asp". It matches the Rfam family "tRNA". Rfam says of the family: Transfer RNA (tRNA) molecules are approximately 80 nucleotides in length. Their secondary structure includes four short double-helical elements and three loops (D, anti-codon, and T loops). The record is from RNAcentral. Lineage: Bacteria; Pseudomonadati; Acidobacteriota.
GGGGGUGUAGCAUAGCGGCUAAUGCGCCUGAUUGUCGAUCAGGUCAUCGCGGGUUCGAGUCCCGUCAUUCCCG